CUAAAUGGAAACACAUUCCCGUUUACACCUGUUUUCAAUCCAUCGCCUGAUUUGAUCACAACACCAGCAGUAGAGUUGUGGUUUCCCUCAGUGUGCUGGAGCAAUUGAUGCUUCCCAGAAACCCAUCACUCCUCCUUUUGAAGAUGCAAAACACUAUUCCAACAGAAAAGACACACAGGAAAUUGUCUUCAUUAUGCUUCUUGGUGACCCGCAUACCCCUCUUGAGCUGGCUGAUGAAGGGAUUUCCAGACAAUGGUCAUCUGUCCAGAGAAGAGAGGUGUUUCAUCUACUGUCUGAGCCGUGCACACAUGACUGCUGAAUGUGCGUUUGGUCACUGAAGAGGAUUUGGAGAUGUUGGAAGAUGGAACAGAAGUUCUCUGUGUUUUACAGAGCCAACUGACGGUUUUCCCAAGGGCAUCAAAUCUAGUAAAGCAAAUCUUGAAUACCAUCCAAACCAGCUGGCAAACAUUUGCCUUUGGGAUAGGUGGUGCAGAAAGGAAACAUUAUCCAUGAUAAGAAGAUCUGCAGACACUGACAUUGGGAGCACUAAAAUCACCUCCAUUCCCACCUAAUCUCAUAUAUGGAAACUAACUUGCUUGGUUUGUC
Molecule: long non-coding RNA, 606 nt
Organism: Sinocyclocheilus anshuiensis
Lineage: Eukaryota; Metazoa; Chordata; Actinopteri; Cypriniformes; Cyprinidae
Exons: 3
Source: RefSeq, a predicted model, not a curated record